This 769-nucleotide long non-coding RNA is filed under the name Rattus norvegicus (Norway rat). Its description in RNAcentral is "long non-coding RNA NONRATT022006". The record is from RNAcentral. Lineage: Eukaryota; Metazoa; Chordata; Mammalia; Rodentia; Muridae.
GCAGAGACAGUGUGUGUCACUCCCCUGAUAGCACAGGAGAGGACCACAUGCUUCAUCACCUACAGGGUAGUAAACCAGUGGUGGUCUCUCCAGAAGUGCAAUAUAUUGAGACUCUUGGGUAUGACCAAUAUGGAUUAAAGAAGAAGGCAGAAAGAGAGCAAAUGAAAAUAAAAUUACAACUUGUAUAUUUAUUUUUUACAUUUUGCUUUGACUUUAGGGAGUCCAUUUUUACUCAAGAACAAACUAAGUCUGUCUGUCGUCUGCAUAGUCUCCCUGCCUGUUCCUACCCUUGAAGCUCCUUAUGCUGGGAAGGCUGUUUGUUUGUUUUUUUAAGAAAUAGAAUAUUUAAUCUGAAUAAGUGUUUAUUUAAAUGUGUAAUGCUUUGAAAAUAAUGGGCAACAGAGAACUAAAGGAUGUUUAUAAAGUGAGCUUGUUGGCUCCAUUUAUAAAUAUAUACGAUUUAUAAGCUUUUUUAAAACAAAGCUCAAAUUGUGGGUAUUUUUCUAAAAUGUGCACAGCUGUAUUUUCCAUGAAGGAUCUUUCUAAUGGGUUGUUAUACUGUACUCUACAUUUUGGACAGCACAUGAAGUCUGCCAAUGUACUUAAUAAAACAUGACUUUGUUUAUUUAAAGUUUCUUGCUGUGAAAAACCCUACCAGUGGGUUCCUUAAUUUAUAAUCCUUAAAACCAAAAUGUAUAAUGUACAGUUUCCACAACUGUAACUGCCCUAAUAAAAAUGUUGGUUAUUAAUAAAGUUCGAGAUGUCUUUC